GUGGAAACAGGUUUUGGUUGAAACUGCUAGUGAGCCGGGUGAAGCUAAGCUACAGAAAGUGAGAAUAAGUGGGUUACAGUGACGGAGAAAAAGGGAAACAAAAGAAGUAAAGCAGUGGCGGAAAAUAGGAAACCACUAAACUUGCUUUUAGUCGGAGUGGGGUUUUUGGAUCAAUACUAAAAUCUGGAAUGUGGUGGAGUUGGCUAUCUCUAUCUCGGUGACACCAACCACAUCUGAUCUAUGGAAUGCCAGCUAUAGGUUUUUCAUCACCAGGCCAUCACUUAAUCAGUUGCCAGCCCAAGCUCCAUAAAGACUUUUCUCAGUUAACUCAAAGGAGAGAAGGUCCAAAGAACCUUACUCUAUUAUAUAAAACAACCAUUUGGUGCAUAAAUAACAAUCUUGUAAUCCUGCUACCACAGAGUUAUUUCUGGGGUGGCGCAAGAAAUAAAGGCUUUUUACUGAAGACCGAUGGAGUGAUUGAUCCAUGUCGACUGACUUGUAGGGUGGACGGAGAAAAUUAAUUUACUUCAUCCUUGCUCCUGUUCUUUGACGAAGUCUCUCCCUUCUCAUAUAAAGCCUCUUCGGUGUCAUAAAUGUAUAAGAUUUGGUCAUGUGUCAAGUGUGUGCAGAAGGGAAGAGUAUCAUAUGCCAAAUUAUGUGAAAUGCUGCAACUGUGGAGGUGAACAUGCGCCUGAAUUCCUGGAGUGUCCUGUUAGGGUGAAGGAGAAUGAGGUGGCAAGGGUAAAGAGUGUCCUGCGUGUCUCCUAUCUGGAGGCGGUGAGAAGAUUGGAAGGAACGAGUGGCGGGGAAGAAACAAUGAUAGUAGAGCCACCACGACCAGUGACGGUUUCUCAUCAACUGAAGGCAUAGUGAAAUGCUACAUGUUAAAGGUGGACAUUGUUUAAUUCAUUGCAAUGGUCAUAACUGUACAGCACAAGCGGAGAAGUCUAAGAAAAUUGGAAUUAUUGUGAAAGCCGUUGAAUGUUUUUUGGGGUCUUUGUGAUUUCACAGCCGAGGUUGUGGAAGACACCCUGUCGGUGAAUGUUUUGCCAUCACAGGCUCCAAGAGCCUUGGUAGGGAUGUCAUUUUGGGUGGACUGUCAUUGAAGAAGUGGGAUGUGUUUUCUUAGUUGACAUGUUUCAUUUUGUAUGAUGUAAUUUUCCCCUUUUCCAGCAAUGUUUUUCUGUUUCCUAUUCAAUAUCAGGGAGAGGUAGUGGACCCCAUGAUGCCCA
Molecule: long non-coding RNA, 1232 nt
Organism: Oncorhynchus tshawytscha (Chinook salmon)
Lineage: Eukaryota; Metazoa; Chordata; Actinopteri; Salmoniformes; Salmonidae
Source: Ensembl